Ribosomal RNA from Cercocebus atys (sooty mangabey), 110 nucleotides. NCBI's taxonomy places the organism in Eukaryota, Metazoa, Chordata, Mammalia, Primates, Cercopithecidae. The record is from Ensembl.
ACAGCCAUCCACACCACCCUGAACGUACCCGAUCUUGUCUGAUCUCAGAAGCUAAGCAGGUUCAGUCUGGUUAGUACCUGGAUGGGAAGGAGGCCUGAGCGUUGGAUUUA